RNAcentral lists this transfer RNA (72 nucleotides) under Ipomoea nil (Japanese morning glory). It matches the Rfam family "tRNA". Rfam says of the family: Transfer RNA (tRNA) molecules are approximately 80 nucleotides in length. Lineage: Eukaryota; Viridiplantae; Streptophyta; Magnoliopsida; Solanales; Convolvulaceae. The record is from Rfam by way of RNAcentral.
GGAUCUGUGGUGCAAUAGUAGCGUGUCUGACUCUAGAUCAGAAGGUUGUGUGUUUAAUUCACGUUGGAUUCA